RNAcentral lists this transfer RNA (76 nucleotides) under Neisseria meningitidis. RNAcentral describes it as "tRNA-His". It matches the Rfam family "tRNA". From Rfam's summary of the family: Transfer RNA (tRNA) molecules are approximately 80 nucleotides in length. Their secondary structure includes four short double-helical elements and three loops (D, anti-codon, and T loops). The record is from RNAcentral. RNAcentral also lists the same sequence under 12 other names. Lineage: Bacteria; Pseudomonadati; Pseudomonadota; Betaproteobacteria; Neisseriales; Neisseriaceae.
GUGGCUGUAGCUCAGUUGGUAGAGCCCCGGAUUGUGAUUCCGGUUGUCGUGGGUUCGAGUCCCAUCAGCCACCCCA